CUAGACAGCCAUAUCACCUUGAAUGUGCCUGAUCUCCUCUAACAUCAGAAACUAAGCAGGAUCAGGCCUGGUAAGUAUUUGGA
This 83-nucleotide ribosomal RNA is filed under the name Meriones unguiculatus (Mongolian gerbil). The record is from RNAcentral. Lineage: Eukaryota; Metazoa; Chordata; Mammalia; Rodentia; Muridae.